This 1140-nucleotide ribosomal RNA is filed under the name uncultured bacterium. RNAcentral describes it as "bacterial SSU rRNA". It matches the Rfam family "Bacterial small subunit ribosomal RNA", at positions 219 to 1367 of the family's 1533-position model. The record is from RNAcentral.
UAUUGGAAUGCCGAAUUCGAUAAGCUAGUGUAAGGUAAAGCUGCAAGCCGACGAUCAGUAGCUGUUCGAGAUGACGACAGCCCACUGACUGAGACACGGUCCAGACUCCUACAGAGGCAGCAGUGGGGAAUUCUGGACAAUUGAGGGCAUCCCUGAUUCCAGCAAUGCCGCGUGAGUGCAGAAGGACCCUCGGGUAGUAAGGCUCUUUUGUCAGGGAAGAAACCGGAGUCUCUAAUAUAGGAUUCUAAUGACGGUACCUGAAGAAUAAGCCCCGGCUAACUACGUGUCAGCAGCCGCGGUAAUACGUAGGGUGCAAGCGUUAAUCGGAAUUACUGGGCGUAAAGCGUGCGCAGGCGGUUUUGUAAGUCCGAUGUGAAAUCCCCGGGCUCAACCUGGGAACUGCAUUGGAGACUGCAAGGCUAGAGUGUGUCAGAGGGGGGUAGAAUUCCACGCGUAGCAGUGAAAUGCGUAGAGAUGUGGAGGAAUACCGAUGGCGAAGGCAGCCCCCUGGGAUAACACUGACGCUCAUGCACGAAAGCGUGGGGAGCAAACAGGAUUAGAUACCCUGGUAGUCCACGCCCUAAACGAUGUCUACUAGUUGUCGGGACUUAAUUGUCUUGGUAACGCAGCUAACGCGUGAAGUAGACCGCCUGGGGAGUACGGUCGCAAGAUUAAAACUCAAAGGAAUUGACGGGGACCCGCACAAGCGGUGGAUGAUGUGGAUUAAUUCGAUGCAACGCGAAAAACCUUACCUACCCUUGACAUGGCAGGAAUCCCGAAGAGAUUUGGGAGUGCUCGCAAGAGAACCUGCACACAGGUGCUGCAUGGCUGUCGUCAGCUCGUGUCGUGAGAUGUUGGGUUAAGUCCCGCAACGAGCGCAACCCUUGUCAUUAGUUGCUACGAAAGGGCACUCUAAUGAGACUGCCGGUGACAAACCGGAGGAAGGUGGGGAUGACGUCAAGUCCUCAUGGCCCUUAUGGGUAGGGCUUCACACGUCAUACAAUGGUACAUACAGAGGGCCGCCAACCCGCGAGGGGGAGCUAAUCCCAGAAAGUGUAUCGUAGUCCGGAUUGUAGUCUGCAACUCGACUACAUGAAGUUGGAAUCGCUAGUAAUCGCGUUUAACAUACUACUCAGGAGU